RNAcentral lists this ribosomal RNA (185 nucleotides) under Pseudopyricularia bothriochloae. RNAcentral describes it as "partial 18S ribosomal RNA". It matches the Rfam family "Eukaryotic small subunit ribosomal RNA", at positions 1650 to 1831 of the family's 1831-position model. Lineage: Eukaryota; Fungi; Ascomycota; Sordariomycetes; Magnaporthales; Pyriculariaceae. The record is from RNAcentral.
UCCCUGCCCUUUGUACACACCGCCCGUCGCUACUACCGAUUGAACGGCUCAGUGAGGCCUCCGGACUGGCCGAGAGAGGUGGGCAACCACCACUCAUGUGCCGGAAAGUUGUACGAACUCGGUCGUUUAGAGGAAGUAAAAGUCGUAACAAGGUCUCCGUUGGUGAACCAGCGGAGGGAUCAUUA